RNAcentral lists this small nucleolar RNA (107 nucleotides) under Rhododendron canescens. RNAcentral describes it as "Small nucleolar RNA snoR100". It matches the Rfam family "Small nucleolar RNA snoR100". The record is from Rfam by way of RNAcentral. Lineage: Eukaryota; Viridiplantae; Streptophyta; Magnoliopsida; Ericales; Ericaceae.
CAAUGAAGGAAGCAUGGUAAUGUGCACAUAAAUUAAUUUGGGUCUCUAGGCCUGCCCCUCUGAUGCCAUUUGGCUUUGAUUUAGGGGCAUGGUUUUACAACAAAACG